This 292-nucleotide ribosomal RNA is filed under the name uncultured bacterium. RNAcentral's name for it is "partial 16S ribosomal RNA". It matches the Rfam family "Bacterial small subunit ribosomal RNA", at positions 505 to 796 of the family's 1533-position model. The record is from RNAcentral.
GUGUCAGCCGCCGCGGUAAGACAGAGGUGCCAAGCGUUAGGCGGAAUCACUGGGCUUAAAGCGUGUGUAGGCGGAUGUCUAAGUACCUUGUGAAAUCCCACGGCUCAACCGUGGAACUGCUGGGUAUACUGGAUGUCUUGAGCCAGCUAGGGGCUACCGGAACAAAUGGUGGAGCGGUGAAAUGCGUAGAUAUCAUUUGGAACGCCAAUGGUGAAAACAGGUAGCUGGGGCUGUGCUGACGCUGAGACACGAAAGCCAGGGGAGCGAACGGGAUUAGAAACCCGCGUAGUCC